RNAcentral lists this ribosomal RNA (254 nucleotides) under uncultured bacterium. Its description in RNAcentral is "partial 16S ribosomal RNA". It matches the Rfam family "Bacterial small subunit ribosomal RNA", at positions 524 to 776 of the family's 1533-position model. The record is from RNAcentral.
UACGGGGGGGGCAAGCGUUGUUCGGAUUUACUGGGCGUAAAGGGCGCGUAGGCGGCCACCGCAAGUCGACUGUGAAAUCUCCGGGCUUAACUCGGAAAGGUCAGCCGAUACUGCGGGGCUAGAGUGCAGAAGGGGCAACUGGAAUUCUCGGUGUAGCGGUGAAAUGCGUAGAUAUCGAGAGGAACACCUGCGGCGAAGGCGGGUUGCUGGGCUGACACUGACGCUGAGGCGCGAAAGCUAGGGGAGCGAACGGG